UAGAAUGGGGUGUAAUGGGUAGCACGGAGAAUUUUGGAUUCUUAGGUGUAGGUUCAAUUCCUAUCAUUCUAG
RNAcentral lists this transfer RNA (72 nucleotides) under Neodon irene (Irene's mountain vole). RNAcentral's name for it is "tRNA-Gln". It matches the Rfam family "tRNA". Rfam says of the family: Transfer RNA (tRNA) molecules are approximately 80 nucleotides in length. Their secondary structure includes four short double-helical elements and three loops (D, anti-codon, and T loops). Lineage: Eukaryota; Metazoa; Chordata; Mammalia; Rodentia; Cricetidae. The record is from RNAcentral.